GACGAACGCUGGCGGCGCGCCUAACACAUGCAAGUCGAACGGAGCUAUUUCGACAGAUCCCUUCAGGGUGACAUUGGCUUAGCUUAGUGGCGAACGGGUGAGUAACACGUGAGGAACCUGCCCUUCAGAGGGGGACAACAGUUGGAAACAGCUGCUAAUACCGCAUAAUGCAACGAAAUCGCAUGACUUUGUUGCCAAAGAUUUAUCGCUCUGAGAUGGCCUCGCGUCUGAUUAGCUAGUUGGCGGGGUAACGGCCCACCAAGGCGACGAUCAGUAGCCGGACUGAGAGGUUGGCCGGCCACAUUGGGACUGAGACACGGCCCAG
This 325-nucleotide ribosomal RNA is filed under the name uncultured bacterium. Its description in RNAcentral is "bacterial SSU rRNA". It matches the Rfam family "Bacterial small subunit ribosomal RNA", at positions 28 to 334 of the family's 1533-position model. The record is from RNAcentral.